Molecule: ribozyme, 69 nt
Filed under: unclassified sequences
Description: pistol ribozyme
Rfam family: Pistol ribozyme
Source: RNAcentral
CGUCGUCAGGGCGACGUUAAAUAGCCAUUAGGCCCUGAGCGUCACUUCUCUUCGGAGAAGUGGGUUGGA